AUGUGUGCAGCAAAGAGUGUUGGUGGUCUUGGGUUCCGCGAUACCGAGGCGUUCAAUCAAGCUUUGUUAGCAAAGCAAGCCUGGAGAAUUCUGCAAGUACCAGCCUCUCUUUGUGCUAGGGUUCUUAAAGCACGCUAUUUUAAAGAAGAGGCAAUCUUGUCGGCCACCUGCCCAUCAAAUGCGUCUUACACCUACAGGAGUGUGCUACAUGGC
Molecule: ribosomal RNA, 213 nt
Filed under: Triticum aestivum (bread wheat)
Lineage: Eukaryota; Viridiplantae; Streptophyta; Magnoliopsida; Poales; Poaceae
Description: partial small subunit ribosomal RNA
Source: RNAcentral